This 382-nucleotide long non-coding RNA is filed under the name Mus musculus (house mouse). RNAcentral's name for it is "RIKEN cDNA 4930423D24 gene". The record is from RNAcentral. Lineage: Eukaryota; Metazoa; Chordata; Mammalia; Rodentia; Muridae.
GACCAGAAGAUGAGAGCAUUCUAAAAUGGAUGUGACCAAGCUGAGGGACCUCCUUCUACUGGGAGGUGAAUUCCGUCUGGAUGGUUCCCCAGUUACGUUAGCGUGCAUUGAUUGAUAGCCAUCCUGCUUGAUAAGGAGGCCGAGGCCGGAGGGACUCAAGUUCAAGGCCUGCUUGGACUCCAUCGAAUCGUGCCAACCCAGACAAGUUUGUAGGCUCCUGUCUCAAAAAUCAGAAAGUCAGUAAGAAAUCUGGAGAUGCAACUCAGCGGGAAGAUGCUGGCCUUGCACGGAUGAAACCCUAAAUGCACUCCCCAGUACAACGCAUGAACAAACAAACAUCAAAAGCCUUUGACCACACACAGUACCAAUAAAGAGAAGAGAA